Molecule: long non-coding RNA, 606 nt
Organism: Triticum dicoccoides
Lineage: Eukaryota; Viridiplantae; Streptophyta; Magnoliopsida; Poales; Poaceae
Exons: 2
Source: RefSeq, a predicted model, not a curated record
UUCAAACACGCACAAACAACUCUCGCUGUACCCCCCAUCCCGCCGCUGUGCCAAGAUGUCGCAGAGUUCUUCGUCGGCUAGUCGGAGCCGGCCACCUCCUCCCCCGCUGCCAUUGAUCAUGUGCCCAAGCUGCCCCGGGACGAGGACCAGGUGGUAUGUGUCCGGGACAGAUCGCAACCCGGGCAUCCGGUUCUACAAGUGCCCAAACCAGGCAUACGGAGGCCCUUGCCGUUUUUGGCUGUGGGAGGACCAAUACGCGUCAACCUUCUCAUCGAGGCCGCCGGUGGUGGGAGCAACGUCAUGUUUGGAAUGGGUCGCGCCAUCGACGAAAUACGCACCGCAGCUAGGAACACCAUGACGAUAUGCAUGCUAAUGCUUUUCGUCCUGCUUGCCAAGGCGGCCGGCUGGCAGUAAAAACCCGUGUGGCGUACCACCAGCAACGAAGCCGGAACAACUGCUUGCCAACGAAGCCGUGACAGUAUUGUUUAUUAUUUGUAGCACGUAUGUAUCCAGAGUGCAGUGCUAUGUACGGACCGUCCCUACGUACGUCAAAAAAGGUACCGUGGCGAGCCCACCAGGUGCGACUUAUGGCGCUGUAUUCGGAUG